Molecule: ribosomal RNA, 497 nt
Filed under: uncultured bacterium
Lineage: Bacteria
Description: partial 16S ribosomal RNA
Rfam family: Bacterial small subunit ribosomal RNA
Source: RNAcentral
GAUGAACGCUGGCGGCGUGCCUAAUACAUGCAAGUCGAGCGAACAGAUGAGGAGCUUGCUCCUCUGACGUUAGCGGCGGACGGGUGAGUAACACGUGGAUAACCUACCUAUAAGACUGGGAUAACUUCGGGAAACCGGAGCUAAUACCGGAUAAUAUAUUGAACCGCAUGGUUCAAUAGUGAAAGACGGUUUUGCUGUCACUUAUAGAUGGAUCCGCGCCGCAUUAGCUAGUUGGUAAGGUAACGGCUUACCAAGGCAACGAUGCGUAGCCGACCUGAGAGGGUGAUCGGCCACACUGGAACUGAGACACGGUCCAGACUCCUACGGGAGGCAGCAGUAGGGAAUCUACCGCAAUGGGCGAAAGCCUGACGGAGCAACGCCGCGUGAGUGAUGAAGGUCUUCGGAUCGUAAAACUCUGUUAUUGGGGAAGAACAAAUGUGUAAGUAACUAUGCACGUCUUGACGGUACCUAAUCAGAAAGCCACGGCUAACUACGUG